AGAACGAACGCUGGCGGCAGGCUUAACACAUGCAAGUCGAACGCGUGUAGCAAUACACGAGUGGCGCACGGGUGAGUAACGCGUGGAUAUCUGCCUUUUGGUUCGGAAUAACCCCGGGAAACUGGGGCUAAAUACCGGAUGGUUCCUACGGGAUAAAGAUUUAUCGCCAAAAGAUGAGUCCGCGUACGAUUAGCUAGUUGGUGAGGUAAUGGCUCACCAAGGCGACGAUCGUUAGCUGGUCUGAGAGGACGAUCAGCCACACUGGGACUGAGACACGGCCCAGACUCCUACGGGAGGCAGCAGUGGGGAAUAUUGGACAAUGGGGGCAACCCUGAUCCAGCCAUGCCGCGUGAGUGAUGAAGGCCUUCGGGUUGUAAAGCUCUUUUGGCGGGACGAUGAUGACGGUACCCGCAGAAUAAGCCCCGGCUAACUUCGCGCCAGCAGCCGC
RNAcentral lists this ribosomal RNA (448 nucleotides) under uncultured bacterium. Its description in RNAcentral is "SSU rRNA". It matches the Rfam family "Bacterial small subunit ribosomal RNA", at positions 26 to 518 of the family's 1533-position model. The record is from RNAcentral.